This 1059-nucleotide ribosomal RNA is filed under the name uncultured bacterium. RNAcentral describes it as "bacterial SSU rRNA". It matches the Rfam family "Bacterial small subunit ribosomal RNA", at positions 75 to 1322 of the family's 1533-position model. The record is from RNAcentral.
GGUAAGUAUAUGAAAUUCUAUGGGCGAAUAGGGCGCCCCGUCGUAUUUUCCCCGCCGCCUGGCCGCGGGAUUCUUCUUCUUUUGGCGGCAGUGAGGAAUAUUGUUCAAUGGGCGCCAGCCUGAACCAGCCACGCCGCGUGAGGGAAGAAUGGUCCUUGGGCUGUAAACCCCUUUUGUCAAGGAAAAAUAAAUUGCGCGCUUGCGAUCUUGCCACUACUUGACUAAUAAGCAUCGGCUAACUCCGUGCCAGCAGCCGCGGUAAUACUCGGGGAUGCCAGCGUUAUCCGGAUUGCAUUGGGUUUAAAGGGCGCGUAGGCGGGACGCCAUGUCAGCGGUCAAAGACUGUAUUUAAACUGUAGCACGCCGUUGAAACUGGCGCCCUCGAGACGAGACGAGGGAGGCGGAACAAGUGAAUUAGCGGUGAAAUGCUUACAUAUCACUUGGAACCCCGAUAGCGAAGGCAGCUUCCCAGGCUCGAUCUGACGCUGAUGCGCGAGAGCGUGGGGAGCGAACAGGAUUAGAUACCCUGGUAGUCCACGCCGUAAACGAUGCUCACUAGGUGUGCGGGGACUGACCCCCUGCGUGCCGCAGUUAACACAAUAAGUAUCCCACCUGGGGAGUACGAUCGCAAGGUUGAAACUCAAAGGAAUUGACGGGGGCCCGCACAAGCGGAGGAUUAUGUGGUUUAAUUCGAUGAUACGCGAAGAACCUUACCAGGACUUGACAUCCUACUAACGAAGUAGAGAUACAUCAGGUGCCCUUCGGGGAAAGUAGAGACAGGUGGUGCAUGGUUGUCGUCAGCUCGUGUCGUGAGAUGUUGGGUUAAGUCCCGCAACGAGCGCAACCCCUAUUGUUAGUUGCUACGCAAGAGCACUCUAGCGAGACUGCCGUUGACAAAACGGAGGAAGGUGGGGACGACGUCAAAUCAUCAUGCCCCUUAUGUCCUGGGCUACACACGUAAUACAAUGGCGGUCAACAGAGGGAUGCAAAUGCCGCGAGGCAGAGCGAACCCGUAAAAGCCGUCCCAGUUUGGAUCGCAGGCUGCAACCCGCCUGCGUG